This 73-nucleotide transfer RNA is filed under the name Pyronema domesticum. RNAcentral describes it as "tRNA-Val". It matches the Rfam family "tRNA". Rfam says of the family: Transfer RNA (tRNA) molecules are approximately 80 nucleotides in length. Their secondary structure includes four short double-helical elements and three loops (D, anti-codon, and T loops). Further hydrogen bonds mediate the characteristic L-shaped molecular structure. tRNAs have two regions of fundamental functional importance: the anti-codon, which is responsible for specific mRNA codon recognition, and the 3' end, to which the tRNAs corresponding amino acid is attached (by aminoacyl-tRNA synthetases). tRNAs cope with the degeneracy of the genetic code in two manners: having more than one tRNA (with a specific anti-codon) for a particular amino acid; and 'wobble' base-pairing, i.e. permitting non-standard base-pairing at the 3rd anti-codon position. Lineage: Eukaryota; Fungi; Ascomycota; Pezizomycetes; Pezizales; Pyronemataceae. RNAcentral also lists the same sequence under 2 other names. The record is from RNAcentral.
GGCUGUUUGGUGUAGCGGUUAUCACACUUGUCUCACACACAAGAGGUCCCCAGUUCGAUCCUGGGAAUAGUCA